GAUGAAGAACGUAGCGAAAUGCGAUAAGUAAUGUGAAUUGCAGAAUUCAGUGAAUCAUCGAAUCUUUGAACGCACCUUGCGCCCUUUGGACAUUCCGAAGGGCAUGCCUGUUUGAGUAUCAUGAACACCUCAACUCUCACGGCUUGUCCGUGAUGAGCUUGGACUUUGGGGGUCUUGCCGGCCUGUGGUCGGCUCCUCUCAAAUGGAUCAGCUUGCCAGUGUUUGGUGGCAUCACAGGUGUGAUAACUAUCUGCGCUUGUGGUUUUCCAUCAGAUAACCUUCAGUGAUAUGGAGGUUCGCUGGAGCUCACAAAUGUCUCUCCUUAGUGAGGACAGCUCUUCGAACGUUUGAUCUCAAAUCAGGUAGGACUACCCGCUGAACUUAAGCAUAUCAAUAAGCGGAGGA
This 405-nucleotide unclassified non-coding RNA is filed under the name soil metagenome. Its description in RNAcentral is "partial contains 5.8S ribosomal RNA, internal transcribed spacer 2, and large subunit ribosomal RNA". The stretch from base 1 to 121 matches the Rfam family "5.8S ribosomal RNA", at positions 35 to 154 of the family's 154-position model. The record is from RNAcentral.